CCAACCUCAGAGCUUGGAUGUCAGACUUUUGCAAAGUGGACUAAAUCCACAUGCUUAAGGGUAAGGAGCAUUUCUGAAUGAAGCUGAAAAAUGUCAAGACUGGCACAGGAACCAGAGAAAUGCUGACUAUGUAUGAUACUUCCAGUGGGCAGGCUCAUGAUACAGUGAUCACUGAGAAGUGACAUGCUGUAUAUUCCCUCAGAUGUUUAAAUGGAACAUGAAAGAGAAAAACAGCAGCCUAUUCCAUCUUUCAGAAACUCUACCAUCCACUGAAACCAGGACCACAGAGAAGGGAUUCCACAAAAGUGUGGUCUCACAAGAAAUGCUGGAUGCAGAGAAGUAGGUAGACAAGAAAACAAGGAAUAUCAUUGAUGAACGAAGGAGCUCACCUCCCAUGAAGGUGGAGGGCAAUGGUUUGAGAAUGAAGAGUUGUAAACACCAAGGCUUUCAAACAAUACACGGCUUCCAGGUACUGAAGGCUGAUUUUCAGAAAGAAUUUUUCAACAGGGAUGUUGUUGAUAAAAAUGAGUACUGGCAGAUCCAUUUAUCAAAGAGGUAGGUGAAUAACAACAUUGAAAGCAAUAACCACAGCUGGUUAGAAUUAUCUAAGUGCUGAAACAUACACAUUACAAAAAACACACAGUAUAAAACCCACAGCAAUGUUUCCACAGCUCCAAUUAGAUUAAUAGGUUGGUGGAAGACUGAAACUAUAAAACCACAAAAUACAGCACUUCUUUUUCCCGUAUAAUUGAAUCCACAGAUAUUGUGGGCUAUUCGAGUUAUGUAAAGAAAUGAUAAUAGCUAGACAGGUUUUAAGAUAAUCAAUAACACACACAUACAGCAUUAAUGAUUUAGUCCCUAAAUUUAUCUGGUUUCUAAACUUAAAAUUAUGCUUAAUUCAGUGAAAGUAAGGAGCUGAAUAAAACCUCCUGCCGGCACCUUUUAUAUAAUUAU
Molecule: long non-coding RNA, 954 nt
Filed under: Vulpes vulpes (red fox)
Lineage: Eukaryota; Metazoa; Chordata; Mammalia; Carnivora; Canidae
Description: lncRNA (ENSVVUG00000021162.1)
Source: RNAcentral